CAGACUCUUCAGCUUUUUCUAGGUAUAAUGCGGCCUCAAAUUCAAAUAAGGCUCCUGGUGUAAACAUUAAAAGUGGUUCCCCACAUGAUUCUAGUUUAGAUUUUACCAAAAAAGGAUUAGUUUGUGAUAUGCUGUCUCAUUCGAAUGGUGAUCAUCCUAAUCAAUGCUCAAAUGUUGGUUGCAAUAACAUUGAUAUGGGUUCCACCACAAAUCACACUUUUACUGAGUCAAUGGUCUUGAAAAAUAAAUCAGCAGUAUCAUCCACGAUCAAAUAUUUGCAUCCACCUUCUAGUUUCCGGCCAUUGAAAGGUGACCCAUUAUGUGCCCCUCAGCAGAUUUUAUCAGAGAAAGCUAAUGAUGUAGCCGGUGCAACAAUGCUAGCUCAACCAAGAGGCACCAAUCAGGAACUCCAAAUUCAGCACCUUGCUAACCAUCAUCAUCAUCAUCCUCCUCACAGCAUGCAAUCACAACAGCAACAGCAACAGCUGCCACCUGACCAUGAUAAUUCAUCAUUGAAGAAAAUGGCUGCAGCUCCUCCACAUUGUGGGUCCUCCAAUUUGUUGGGUGGUCCUGUUGAAGGUAAUGGUGGCAAUUACAGCAUCAAUGGAAGUGCUUCCAGUAGUAACCAUGGCAGUAACCACGGGAGCAAUGGACAAAAUGGGAGUUGCACUGCAGUCAAUGCUGAAGGGACUAAUGUAGAAAGUGAUAAUGGAAUCGCUGGUAAAGCUGGAAGUGGUGAUGGCCGUGGGACUGGGAGUGGAACUGGGGAUGGAAACCUAGUAGAUCAGAGCAAGUUUUCUCAGAGAGAAGCUGCCUUGACCAAAUUUCGACAGAAAAGAAAGUAGCGAUGCUUCAGGAAAAAGGUUCGGUACCAAAGCAGGAAGAGAUUAGCCGAGCAACGACCGCGUGUGCGGGGACAAUUUGUGCGGCAGACAGCUAAUGGGAGCACAAGCAGAGCAACAAGAGAGCUAAUUGAUCCCUUGAUCUGAUAGUGAAAAUUACGCACUGAUUAUUCGGGGCAUAGGUGGCUUGACAUGAAUAGAUAGAGAACAAGAACUGUAUUUGAUUGAUGUAAACUUAAAUUGCGGAACAGUAUUUGUUGCUUAGAACUUUUGCCUGCUACUU
This 1125-nucleotide unclassified non-coding RNA is filed under the name Hevea brasiliensis (rubber tree). The record is from RNAcentral. Lineage: Eukaryota; Viridiplantae; Streptophyta; Magnoliopsida; Malpighiales; Euphorbiaceae.